GAUCAACGCUGGCGGCGUGCAUAACACAUGCAAGUCGAACGAUGAAGAUUAAAAGAUUUCUUCGGAAUGAACUUAAUUGGAUUAGUGGCGGACGGGUGAGUAACGCGUGAGUAACCUGCCUUGUACAAGGGGAUAGCCGUUGGAAACGACGAAUAAUACCCUAUGACAUCAAAUAAUCGCAUGAUAAUUUGAUCAAAGAUUUAUCGGUAUAAGAUGGACUCGCGUCUGAUUAGCUAGUUGGUAGAGUAAAAGCCUACCAAGGCAACGAUCAGUAGCCGGCUUGAGAGAGUGUACGGCCACAUUGGGACUGAGACACGGCCCAGACUCCUACGGGAGGCAGCAGUGGGGAAUUUUGCACAAUGGGGGAAACCCUGAUGCAGCGACGCCGCGUGAUUUAGAAGGCCUUCGGGUUGUAAAAAUCUUUUGUAUGGGAAGAAAAUGACAGUACCAUACGAAUAAGGACCGGCUAAUUACGCG
RNAcentral lists this ribosomal RNA (477 nucleotides) under uncultured bacterium. Its description in RNAcentral is "partial 16S ribosomal RNA". It matches the Rfam family "Bacterial small subunit ribosomal RNA", at positions 28 to 507 of the family's 1533-position model. The record is from RNAcentral.